RNAcentral lists this ribosomal RNA (504 nucleotides) under uncultured bacterium. Its description in RNAcentral is "partial 16S ribosomal RNA". It matches the Rfam family "Bacterial small subunit ribosomal RNA", at positions 28 to 506 of the family's 1533-position model. The record is from RNAcentral.
GACGAACGCUGGCGGCGUGCCUAAUACAUGCAAGUAGAACGCACAGUUUAUACCGUAGCUUGCUACACCAUAGACUGUGAGUUGCGAACGGGUGAGUAACGCGUAGGUAACCUGCCUGGUAGCGGGGGAUAACUAUUGGAAACGAUAGCUAAUACCGCAUAAUAUUAAUUAUUGCAUGAUAAUUAAUUGAAAGGUGCAAUUGCACCACUACCAGAUGGACCUGCGUUGUAUUAGCUAGUAGGUGAGGUAACGGCUCACCUAGGCGACGAUACAUAGCCGACCUGAGAGGGUGAUCGGCCACACUGGGACUGAGACACGGCCCAGACUCCUACGGGAGGCAGCAGUAGGGAAUCUUCGGCAAUGGACGAAAGUCUGACCGAGCAACGCCGCGUGAGUGAAGAAGGUUUUCGGAUCGUAAAGCUCUGUUGUAAGAGAAGAACGGGUGUGAGAGUGGAAAGUUCACACUGUGACGGUAUCUUACCAGAAAAGGACGGCUAACUACGU